CCUACGGGUGGCAGCAGUGAGGAAUAUUGGUCAAUGGACGCAAGUCUGAACCAGCCAUGCCGCGUGCAGGAAGACGGCUCUAUGAGUUGUAGACUGCUUUUGUACGAGGGUAAAUCGCGAUACGUGUAUCGGGUUGAAAGUAUCGUACGAAUAAGGAUCGGCUAACUCCGUGCCAGCAGCCGCGGUAAUACGGAGGAUUCAAGCGGUAUCCGGAUUUAUUGGGUUUAAAGGGUGCGUAGGCGGAAUAUCCAGUCAGCGGUAAAAUUUCGGGGCUCAACCCCGUCGUGCCGUUGAAACUGAUGUUCUUGAGUGGGCGAGAAGUAUGCGGAAGGCGUGGUGUAGCGGUGAAAUGCAUAGAUAUCACGCAGAACUCCGAUUGCGAAGGCAGCAUACCGGCGCCCAACUGACGCUGAAGCACGAAAGCGUGGGUAUCGAACAGGAUUAGAUACCCGAGUAGUC
Molecule: ribosomal RNA, 459 nt
Filed under: uncultured bacterium
Lineage: Bacteria
Description: partial 16S ribosomal RNA
Rfam family: Bacterial small subunit ribosomal RNA
Source: RNAcentral